UAAGCGACUAAGCGUACACGGUGGAUGCCUAGGCAGUCAGAGGCGAUGAAGGGCGUGCUAAUCUGCGAAAAGCGUCGGUAAGCUGAUAUGAAGCGUUAUAACCGACGAUACCCGAAUGGGGAAACCCAGUGCAAUACGUUGCACUAUCGUUAGAUGAAUACAUAGUCUAACGAGGCGAACCGGGGGAACUGAAACAUCUAAGUACCCCGAGGAAAAGAAAUCAACCGAGAUUCCCCCAGUAGCGGCGAGCGAACGGGGAGGAGCCCAGAGUCUGAAUCAGUUUGUGUGUUAGUGGAAGCGUCUGGAAAGUCGCACGGUACAGGGUGAUAGUCCCGUACACCAAAAUGCACAGGCUGUGAACUCGAUGAGUAGGGCGGGACACGUGACAUCCUGUCUGAAUAUGGGGGGACCAUCCUCCAAGGCUAAAUACUCCUGACUGACCGAUAGUGAACCAGUACCGUGAGGGAAAGGCGAAAAGAACCCCGGCGAGGGGAGUGAAAUAGAACCUGAAACCGUGUACGUACAAGCAGUGGGAGCACCUUCGUGGUGUGACUGCGUACCUUUUGUAUAAUGGGUCAGCGACUUAUAUUUUGUAGCAAGGUUAACCGAAUAGGGGAGCCGUAGGGAAACCGAGUCUUAACUGGGCGUCUAGUUGCAAGGUAUAGACCCGAAACCCGGUGAUCUAGCCAUGGGCAGGUUGAAGGUUGGGUAACACUAACUGGAGGACCGAACCGACUAAUGUUGAAAAAUUAGCGGAUGACUUGUGGCUGGGGGUGAAAGGCCAAUCAAACCGGGAGAUAGCUGGUUCUCCCCGAAAGCUAUUUAGGUAGCGCCUCGUGAACUCAUCUUCGGGGGUAGAGCACUGUUUCGGCUAGGGGGCCAUCCCGGCUUACCAAACCGAUGCAAACUCCGAAUACCGAAGAAUGUUAUCACGGGAGACACACGGCGGGUGCUAACGUCCGUCGUGAAGAGGGAAACAACCCAGACCGCCAGCUAAGGUCCCAAAGUCAUGGUUAAGUGGGAAACGAUGUGGGAAGGCACAGACAGCCAGGAUGUUGGCUUAGAAGCAGCCAUCAUUUAAAGAAAGCGUAAUAGCUCACUGGUCGAGUCGGCCUGCGCGGAAGAUGUAACGGGGCUAAACCAUGCACCGAAGCUGCGGCAGCGACACUUAGGUGUUGUUGGGUAGGGGAGCGUUCUGUAAGCCGUUGAAGGUGACCUGUGAGGGUUGCUGGAGGUAUCAGAAGUGCGAAUGCUGACAUAAGUAACGAUAAUGCGGGUGAAAAACCCGCACGCCGGAAGACCAAGGGUUCCUGUCCAACGUUAAUCGGGGCAGGGUGAGUCGACCCCUAAGGCGAGGCUGAAAAGCGUAGUCGAUGGGAAACAGGUUAAUAUUCCUGUACUUGGUGUUACUGCGAAGGGGGGACGGAGAAGGCUAGGCUGGCCGGGCGACGGUUGUCCCGGUUUAAGCGUGUAGGGGGAGUGACCAGGUAAAUCCGGUUGCUUAUCAACCCUGAGGCGUGAUGACGAUGCACCACGGUGCAGAAGCAGUUGAUGCCAUGCUUCCAGGAAAAGCCUCUAAGCAUCAGGUAACAUUAAAUCGUACCCCAAACCGACACAGGUGGUCAGGUAGAGAAUACUCAGGCGCUUGAGAGAACUCGGGUGAAGGAACUAGGCAAAAUGGUGCCGUAACUUCGGGAGAAGGCACGCUGGCGUUAGGUGAAAGGACUAGCUCCUGGAGCUGAAGCCAGUCGCAGAUACCAGCUGGCUGCAACUGUUUAAUAAAAACACAGCACUGUGCAAACACGAAAGUGGACGUAUACGGUGUGACGCCUGCCCGGUGCUGGAAGGUUAAUUGAUGGGGUCAGCCGCAAGGGGAAGCUCUUGAUCGAAGCCCCAGUAAACGGCGGCCGUAACUAUAACGGUCCUAAGGUAGCGAAAUUCCUUGUCGGGUAAGUUCCGACCUGCACGAAUGGCGUAAUGAUGGCCAGGCUGUCUCCACCCGAGACUCAGUGAAAUUGAACUCGCUGUGAAGAUGCAGUGUACCCGCGGCAAGACGGAAAGACCCCGUGAACCUUUACUAUAGCUUGACACUGAACAUUGAGCCUUGAUGUGUAGGAUAGGUGGGAGGCCUUGAAGUGUGGACGCCAGUCUGCAUGGAGCCAACCUUGAAAUACCACCCUUUAAUGUUUGAUGUUCUAACUCGGCCCCAUGAUCUGGGGUGAGGACAGUGUCUGGUGGGUAGUUUGACUGGGGCGGUCUCCUCCCAAAGAGUAACGGAGGAGCACGAAGGUUAGCUAAUCACGGUCGGACAUCGUGAGGUUAGUGCAAAGGCAUAAGCUAGCUUGACUGCGAGAGUGACGGCUCGAGCAGGUACGAAAGUAGGUCUUAGUGAUCCGGUGGUUCUGAAUGGAAGGGCCAUCGCUCAACGGAUAAAAGGUACUCCGGGGAUAACAGGCUGAUACCGCCCAAGAGUUCAUAUCGACGGCGGUGUUUGGCACCUCGAUGUCGGCUCAUCACAUCCUGGGGCUGAAGUAGGUCCCAAGGGUAUGGCUGUUCGCCAUUUAAAGUGGUACGCGAGCUGGGUUUAGAACGUCGUGAGACAGUUCGGUCCCUAUCUGCCGUGGGCGUUGGAAGAUUGAGAGGGGCUGCUCCUAGUACGAGAGGACCGGAGUGGACGAAUCACUGGUGUUCGGGUUGUCAUGCCAAUGGCAUUGCCCGGUAGCUAAAUUCGGAAGAGAUAACCGCUGAAAGCAUCUAAGCGGGAAACUUGCCUCGAGAUGAGUCUUCCCUGGGGCUUAAAGCCCCCUGAAGGAACGUUAAAGACUAUGACGUUGAUAGGCUGGGUGUGUAAGUGCAGCGAUGUAUUGAGCUAACCAGUACUAAUGAUCCGUGAGGCUUAACCU
RNAcentral lists this ribosomal RNA (2903 nucleotides) under Yersinia pestis. Its description in RNAcentral is "bacterial LSU rRNA". It matches the Rfam family "Bacterial large subunit ribosomal RNA". The record is from RNAcentral. Lineage: Bacteria; Pseudomonadati; Pseudomonadota; Gammaproteobacteria; Enterobacterales; Yersiniaceae.